AGCGAACGCUGGCGGCAGGCUUAACACAUGCAAGUCGAGCGGGCGUAGCAAUACGUCAGCGGCAGACGGGUGAGUAACGCGUGGGAACAUACCUUUUGGUUCGGAACAACACAGGGAAACUUGUGCUAAUACCGGAUAAGCCCUUACGGGAAGGAUUAUCGCCGAAGAUUGGCCCGCGUCUGAUUAGCUAGUUGGUGAGGUAACGGCUCACCAAGGCGACGAUCA
RNAcentral lists this ribosomal RNA (225 nucleotides) under uncultured bacterium. RNAcentral describes it as "partial 16S ribosomal RNA". It matches the Rfam family "Bacterial small subunit ribosomal RNA", at positions 29 to 282 of the family's 1533-position model. The record is from RNAcentral.